GUGUAACGGAGAAUCAGGGUUCGAUUCCGGAGAAGGAGCUUGAGAAUUGGCUACUACAUCUAAGGAAGGCAGCAGGCGCGCAAAUUACCCAAUCCCGAUUCGGGGAGGUAGUGACAAAAAAUAACAAUACCGGGCCUUUUUGGGCUUGGUAAUUGGAAUGAGGGAGAGUUAAACGGGCCAUCGAGUAUCUAUUGGAGGGCAAGUCUGGUGCCAGCGGCUGCGGUAAUACCAGCUCCAAUAGCGUAUAUUAAAGUUGUUGCAGUUAAAAAGCUCGUAGUUGGACUUGUGUGCGCUGUCCGCGGGUGGCCUGCGCCCAAAAGGGCGUUUCGGUUCGGCCCCGGUGGCGCCUUGAAAUCUGCAGCUGGGGGGACGUUGGCCUUAAUUGGUCGGCGACCGCACGCCGGCUGCUCGGUUACUGUGAGAAAAUUGGAGUGUUCAAGGCAGGCAUUGGGUGCAAUUGAAUACAUUAGCAUGGAAUAAUAAAAUAUGGCUCCUGCCGUAUUUUGUUGGUUUUGACUGGUGGGAGUAAUGAUUGAUAGGGACGGUUGGGGGUGCUAGUAUUGAGCGGCCAGAGGUGAAAUUCAUGGAUUCGCUCAAGACUAACUUAUGCGAAAGCAUUCACCAAGGACGUCCUCUUUAAUCAAGAACGAAAGUUGGGGGAUCGAAGACGAUCAGAUACCGUCGUAGUCUCAACCAUAAACUAUGUCGACUUGGGAUCGGCGGUAGUUUUUUCAUUAAGACACUGUCGGGACCACGGGAGAAAUCAAAGUGUCUGGACUCUGGGGGAAGUAUGGUCGCAAGGCUGAAACUUGAAGGAAUUGACGGAAGGGCACCACCAGGAGUGGAGCCUGCGGCUUAAUUUGACCCAACACGGGGAAACUUACCAGGUCCAGAGAUGUAGAGGAUUGACAGAUUGAAGCUCUUUCUUGAUCACUUCGGUGGUGGUGCAUGGCCGUUCUUAGUUGGUGGAGUGAUUUGUCUGGUUAAUUCCGUUAACGAACGAGACCUCAGCCUGCUAGUGUAGUCGGCUGGAUUGCCUUUGGCGAUCCGUGAUUUCGACUUCUUAGAGGGACAAUCGACGCGCAGUCGAUGGAAGUUUGAGGCAAUAACAGGUCUGUGAUGCCCUUAGAUGUCCUGGGCCGCACGCGCGCUACACUGCUGGGCUCAGCGAGUUUUACUUGGCCGAGAGGCCCGGUUAAUCUUGUGAAAUCCCAGCGUGCUUGGGCUCGCCUCCUGCAACUGGAGGCGCCAACGAGGAAUUCCUAGUAGACGCAGGUCAUCAACCUGCAUCGAUUACGUCCCUGCCCUUUGUACACACCGCCCGUCGUUCCAUAAGAGUGAGGCAUCCGGUGAAUUCUCGGGAGAGCCUGGGCGUGGCCAGCAAUGGUCUGCUCGGGUUUGAACUUGCAUAAACUUGGUGCCUAUGAUUAGGGAAAAGUCGUAACAAGGUU
This 1451-nucleotide ribosomal RNA is filed under the name metagenome. RNAcentral describes it as "SSU rRNA". It matches the Rfam family "Eukaryotic small subunit ribosomal RNA", at positions 357 to 1801 of the family's 1831-position model. The record is from RNAcentral.